This 66-nucleotide transfer RNA is filed under the name Neoepinnula minetomai. RNAcentral describes it as "tRNA-Cys". Lineage: Eukaryota; Metazoa; Chordata; Actinopteri; Scombriformes; Gempylidae. The record is from RNAcentral.
AGCUCUGAGGUGCGUUGCAUGUGAGAUUGCAAAUCUCAAGGAGCAGACUAACGUUUGCCGGGGCUU